UAGUGGUCUGAGGUGGACGGGGUAUC
RNAcentral lists this non-coding RNA (26 nucleotides) under Rattus norvegicus (Norway rat). Lineage: Eukaryota; Metazoa; Chordata; Mammalia; Rodentia; Muridae. The record is from RNAcentral.